UUUCUAAAAACUUAUUUAUAAACAAAGAAAUAACUAAAAUUAAUAAAAAUAUUUUUAUCACAUCAAAUGUUUACCAAUAUAUUUUUAAAAUUAAACUAAAUAAUAAUUUAUUAGUAUUGAAAAAGAAAGUCUAAUAAUAACCGAAAUAAAAAGAAAAAAUAAAUACUUGUACCUUGUGUAUCAGUGAUUUUUCACAUAAAAGAAAAUUUAAUUCUUAUCCCGAAUAAUAUGACCUAAAAUAUUAUUUAUUUUAAUGUAACAAAAUUAUAAAUAAUAAUAAUUUAGAUAUGAUAUGUUUGUCACAUAUUUUGAUACCUGGUUUCUUAAAAUAAAAUUAAAUUUCAAAAAUAAUAGGUUUAAAUAAAUUAAUAAAAAACUUAUUAUUUAAAUAAAAUUAGGGGGAUUAGCUCCUAAAAUUAUAUUAAAUUAAAAUAAUAAAAAUAAUUACAGUAGAUUUUAUAACAACCACCUGUCUAACACGUCAUAGUAAAUAUUAUAAUUAUAAAUAUUUAUAAAUAUUUAUAAAAUAAAAUUAAGAAAUUAUUUAUAACUUCAUUUAAUAAGUUACCAUAAAAAUAUUAUUAUAAAUUAAUAUAAAUUAAAAUUAUCCAAUUAAAAUAAAUAAAAUUUUAAAUUCGAAAUACUUAAUUCAAGGAACUCAGCAAAAAUAACUUCCCGCCUGUUUAAUAAAAACAUGUCUUCCUGUACAUAAUAGGAAGUCCAACUCUGCCCACUGAAAUAAUUUAAAAGGCCGCGGUAAUUUUGACCGUGCUAAGGUAGCAUAAUAAUUUGUCUCCUAAUUAGAGACUAGAAUGAAAGGUCAAACGAGGUAGUAUCUGUCUCCUAAUAAAUAUUAAAAAUUUACCUUUAAGUGAAAAGGCUUAAAUAAAUCAUAAGACGACAAGACCCCGUAGAACUUCAUACAAAAAUUUAAUAUUAGUUCUUUAUAAAAAAUUUUUGUAUUUCGUUGGGGUGACCAAUUUUAAAAAUAAACAAAAACUUAUUUUUACAUAUAUAAAUGAAACUUUUAUUGACCCAGAUAUUUCUGAUUAAAAGAACAAGUUACCUCGGGGAUAACAGCGUAAUUCUUUUCAAAAGCACACAUUAACAAAAGAGAUUGCGACCUCGAUGUUGGACUAAGAAACCUAUAAAAUGCAGCAGUUUUAUAAGAAGGUCUGUUCGACCUUUAAUAUCUUACAUGAUCUGAGUUUAAACCGGCGUAAGCCAGGUUGGUUUCUAUCUAUGAUUUUUAAAAAUAACUUCUUAGUACGAAAGGAACGAAAGUUAAAAAUUAUUUUAAUUUAAUGAAUAUAAAUAAUAAUAA
Molecule: ribosomal RNA, 1324 nt
Filed under: Hutchinsoniella macracantha
Lineage: Eukaryota; Metazoa; Arthropoda; Cephalocarida; Brachypoda; Hutchinsoniellidae
Description: large subunit ribosomal RNA
Rfam family: Archaeal large subunit ribosomal RNA (bases 891-1246)
Source: RNAcentral